This 253-nucleotide ribosomal RNA is filed under the name uncultured bacterium. RNAcentral's name for it is "partial 16S ribosomal RNA". It matches the Rfam family "Bacterial small subunit ribosomal RNA", at positions 524 to 776 of the family's 1533-position model. The record is from RNAcentral.
UACAGAGGGUGCAAGCGUUGUCCGGAAUCACUGGGCGUAAAGGGCGCGUAGGCGGCCCGAUAAGUAGGGGGUGAAAUCUUGCGGCUCAACCGCAAGGCUGCCUUCUAGACUGUCGGGCUUGAGCACAGUAGAGGCAGGUGGAAUUCCCGGUGUAGCGGUGGAAUGCGUAGAUAUCAAGAGGAACACCGGUGGCGAAGGCGGCUCUCUGGUCCAUGUCUGACGUUGAGGUACGAAAGCCAGGGGAGCAAACGGG